UUUAGAUAUAGAAUACCAUAAAGCAAUCAUAUUUUUUUUUGUAAAAAAAAUAAAAGAUUGGCACUGUGUUAAUGGGGUAGUAAAUUUCUUUUUUAUUAUGUUACACAAAUAUAGUGAUAUAAUAAGAAACAUAAAAUACGAUUCUUUGUUUUUAUCACCAGAAUAUAAAAAAUUGUUUAUGGUAAAAAAAAAAAGCAGUGUAAAAUAUAUAAAUAUGUUUGGCUUGGAAAAAAAAAAAAACGAAAAUGGUACAAAUUUGGCGAAUGGUACAAAUUUGGCGAAUGGUACAAAUUUGGCGAAUGGUACAAAUUUGAAAAAUGGUUCAAAUUUGAAAAAUGGUUCAAAUUUUAUGAACGACUGUUUAGCGUCAGGCGAAACUGAUGUAAAGCGUGAAUCAAAUAAUACAACAAAUAUGAACUUUGUUGUUAGUCAUAACGAAAACGGAGGUAGUAAUGACUAUUAUAAUGACAACUUCUCCAGUUAUAUUGAUAAUCAACAUGACGAUUACGACGAGUCAGUUUCGGAUUAUUAUUCUGAGGAGUACUAUACGAACCCAAAUAAACAAAAUUAUCAUCACAAUAUUGAUGAAUAUUCAUAUUCAGAUAGAUGCUCAGAGGAAUGCUCAAUAGAUGACGACUUAGAUGAUGUCGAAGUAAUAUUAGAAGAGAACACUUGUGUCGUUUACACUAUUUUAAAAAAACUAUUUAUACAUGUACAUGCGCCCAGCUAUUUGCAAAAUAUAAGAUGGAAUUAUUAUAAAAUAAUAUUAAUAUCUUUAAGCAAAUUUAAUAAAGAAAUAAAACAAAUAAAAAAUUUUAUUGACAAAAUACAAAAUCAAUUAGAAAGCGAAUCUGAUCCUCGUAAUAUUUUAGUCUUAUUCGACAUAAUUUAUAUAUUAUGCAACAAAUAUAUAUCUUCUCAUAGUAUGAAUGAUAAAAAAGGUGACAGUACUAGUGACAAUCGUGGCGAUAGUGACAAUCGUAGCGAUAGUGACGAUAGUGGCGAUAGUGACGAUAGUGGCGAUAGUGGCGAUAGUAGCGUGUUGAAUGUGGAUGAUAAUAUUUCAUGUGAGAGUUCUUCGAGUAUCUCUCAUUUUACGGAUGUGCCUAAUCGUGUAGCUACAAACGGGAUGAGCAGAGGUAAUGGAGCACUCAACACAAGUGGAAAUGACAAGAACAAUAACCAACAGUACUACCCAUACUCAUACAAAAAAGAAAAAAAAUAUUUAAAGUCUAUUAUAGAUAUCGCAUUUUAUUACUUUCCUAUUGAAUUCAUAAACAAUGAAAAAAAAUAUGAUUUAAUAACAGAAGCAGAUUUACAAGCUUCUUUUUGCAAAUGCUUAAAAUCAAAUAAAAGAUUAGGUAAUCAUGUAAUAACAAAUAUAUUAGAUCAAUUAUAUAAUACAGAAGAUGAUGAUGUUAAUGAUAAAUAUCUUAAGAAUGUGACUAAUACGUUAGAAGAAUGUAUUCCUUUUUAUACGUACAAAUGUGCAGCUAAGUUUAUUACUACAGUGUUAGGCAUAAUCGAAUUAGAAUGUAUAGAAAAUAAUGCAUCAGAUAAAACGGUAGAUUAUUUAAUUCAUAUAUUGUUUAUAUUUUUAAAAGAGUUAAACAAAGAAAAAAAUAAAAAAAAAAAAAAUGCUCUAUUUAAUACAUAUGUUAUUAAUAUGCUUAGGAAAAUACAGAAGCAUGUUAUAUUACACAAGAAAUUUUGCGAGAAAAUCGAUUAUGGCAUAUGGUGUGUAGAAACAAAUUUAAAAAGAGAAGAAGAAAAAACAAUCCUGAGUAAUACUAAUAAAGUUGAUAUAAGUAGGAAGAAUAUUAAAAUGUCUAAUGGUUUAUUAUGUAAUAUAUCGACUGACAUUCCACACGACAUCCCAUUUGAAGGGGUACCUGUAAAAGAAAUUACGAACGAAUUAUCAAAAGAAGAUUGUAUAAUAAAAUAUAAUUGUAAAAAACAGACUGAAGUAGAUACACAAAAAGAAAAAAAAAAAGAAAAACACGAAGAAAAGGAUCAAAGUUGUAAAUCAAAAAUAGAAUCAUUUUAUUUUUGUUUAGAUAAAGAUAGUAGUAGUAUUAGUGACUAUAGUAGUAAUAAUAUUUAUAGUAACAGUGGUAGUAGUAGUAGUAGUAGUAGUAAUAGUAAUAGUAAUAGUAGUAAAAAUUUGUAUAAUAACUAUACGUAUUCUUCGUUAAGUAAAUCAGAAGAUUCUUGCUCCAAUUUUGAUGAAGUAGACAGUUGUGACAAUAAUAAUAUUAAUAAUAAAAAUGAUAAUGUAGAUAUUUCUAAUCAUGAUAAUAAUAUAAGUUAUGGAAGCGAAGUAGACGAUAAAAAUAUUAUUACAAUUAUAAAAGAAAAAACAGAAAUUGAUAAAAUAAAAGAAAUAAAAGAAAAUAAAAAGAAAAAAAAUCAUGUAAAAUUGAACAAAUUAGUUUUAAUCGAAAAAAUGCUUAUAUGUAUAUCCAAAAAUAAUAAACUUAUGUUUUUAUACAUACUACACAUUUUACUUAAACCGAUAAUAAAAGAGUGUUACUAUUUGAUUAAUUUUUU
This is a long non-coding RNA of Piliocolobus tephrosceles (Ugandan red Colobus), 2550 nucleotides long. The record is from Ensembl. NCBI's taxonomy places the organism in Eukaryota, Metazoa, Chordata, Mammalia, Primates, Cercopithecidae.